This 1346-nucleotide ribosomal RNA is filed under the name uncultured bacterium. RNAcentral describes it as "partial 16S ribosomal RNA". It matches the Rfam family "Bacterial small subunit ribosomal RNA", at positions 28 to 1381 of the family's 1533-position model. The record is from RNAcentral.
GACGAACGCUGGCGGCGUGCUUAACACAUGCAAGUCGAACGGAAAGGCCCUGCUUUUGUGGGGUGCUCGAGUGGCGAACGGGUGAGUAACACGUGAGUAACCUGCCCUUGACUUUGGGAUAACUUCAGGAAACUGGGGCUAAUACCGGAUAGGAGCUCCUGCUGCAUGGUGGGGGUUGGAAAGUUUCGGCGGUUGGGGAUGGACUCGCGGCUUAUCAGCUUGUUGGUGGGGUAGUGGCUUACCAAGGCUUUGACGGGUAGCCGGCCUGAGAGGGUGACCGGCCACAUUGGGACUGAGAUACGGCCCAGACUCCUACGGGAGGCAGCAGUGGGGAAUAUUGCACAAUGGGCGGAAGCCUGAUGCAGCAACGCCGCGUGCGGGAUGACGGCCUUCGGGUUGUAAACCGCUUUCGCCUGUGACGAAGCGUGAGUGACGGUAAUGGGUAAAGAAGCACCGGCUAACUACGUGCCAGCAGCCGCGGUGAUACGUAGGGUGCGAGCGUUGUCCGGAUUUAUUGGGCGUAAAGGGCUCGUAGGUGGUUGAUCGCGUCGGAAGUGUAAUCUUGGGGCUUAACCCUGAGCGUGCUUUCGAUACGGGUUGACUUGAGGAAGGUAGGGGAGAAUGGAAUUCCUGGUGGAGCGGUGGAAUGCGCAGAUAUCAGGAGGAACACCAGUGGCGAAGGCGGUUCUCUGGGCCUUUCCUGACGCUGAGGAGCGAAAGCGUGGGGAGCGAACAGGCUUAGAUACCCUGGUAGUCCACGCUGUAAACGGUGGGUACUAGGUGUGGGGUCCAUUCCACGGGUUCCGUGCCGUAGCUAACGCUUUAAGUACCCCGCCUGGGGAGUACGGCCGCAAGGCUAAAACUCAAAGGAAUUGACGGGGCCCCGCACAAGCGGCGGAGCAUGCGGAUUAAUUCGAUGCAACGCGUAGAACCUUACCUGGGUUUGACAUGGAUCGGGAGUGCUCAGAGAUGGGUGUGCCUCUUUUGGGGUCGGUUCACAGGUGGUGCAUGCCUGUCGUCAGCUUGUGUCGUGAGAUGUUGGGUUAAGUCCCGCAACGAGCGCAACCCUUGUUCACUGUUGCCAGCACGUUAUGGUGGGGACUCAGUGGAGACCGCCGGGGUCAACUCGGAGGAAGGUGGGGAUGACGUCAAGUCAUCAUGCCCCUUAUGUCCAGGGCUUCACGCAUGCUACAAUGGCUGGUACAGAGAGUGGCGAGCCUGUGAGGGUGAGCGAAUCUCGGAAAGCCGGUCUCAGUUCGGAUUGGGGUCUGCAACUCGACCUCAUGAAGUCGGAGUCGCUAGUAAUCGCAGAUCAGCAACGCUGCGGUGAAAACGUUCCCGGGGCU